UAUUGGUCGGCAGAGUCCACGGAAUUCUAGACAUUUACUAGAGGAGAUGCGUCCUCCAGGCCACACUGUCGGAGGUGUGGUUGCUCAGUGAGCAAUUAGCCAAGACAAGAAUCAACAAGUGGAGGCUGUUCAAGCCGUCAUGAAUAUGCAUGAACAGCUGAUUUAUAAGUGAACUCUACGCCCCAUCAUAGCUUGAAUAGCCAUCAACUAUAACUAUGCACAUAAAUUGCAAUGAACCUUAGCUCGAAAGUGGAAGAACAGCAAAGCAACAGGUUAAUGGCAGGCGGCAGCACUGGCCAACAAACGAGUUGGCGAGAAGGCCAUCCACACACAUGUCCAAUAUUUACGCAAUUACAUUACCAACAGAGCAAAAAACGAUCGAUAGUAACGAAGAUUAAAGUAUUGGAAUUAU
Molecule: long non-coding RNA, 412 nt
Organism: Drosophila guanche
Lineage: Eukaryota; Metazoa; Arthropoda; Insecta; Diptera; Drosophilidae
Exons: 2
Source: RefSeq, a predicted model, not a curated record